This 465-nucleotide ribosomal RNA is filed under the name uncultured bacterium. RNAcentral's name for it is "partial 16S ribosomal RNA". It matches the Rfam family "Bacterial small subunit ribosomal RNA", at positions 28 to 507 of the family's 1533-position model. The record is from RNAcentral.
GACGAACGCUGGCGGCGUGCUUAACACAUGCAAGUCGAACGGAAAGGCCCUGCUUGCAGGGUACUCGAGUGGCGAACGGGUGAGUAACACGUGGGUGAUCUGCCCUGCACUUCGGGAUAAGCCUGGGAAACUGGGUCUAAUACCGGAUAGGAGCCAUUUUUAGUGUGAUGGUUGGAAAGCUUUUUCGGUGUAGGAUGAGCUCGCGGCCUAUCAGCUUGUUGGUGGGGUAAUGGCCUACCAAGGCGGCGACGGGUAGCCGGCCUGAGAGGGUGGACGGCCACAUUGGGACUGAGAUACGGCCCAGACUCCUACGGGGGGCAGCAGUGGGGAAUAUUGCACAAUGGGCGCAAGCCUGAUGCAGCGACGCCGCGUGGGGGAUGACGGCCUUCGGGUUGUAAACUCCUUUCGCUAGGGACGAAGCUUUUUGUGACGGUACCUAGAUAAGAAGCACCGGCUAACUACGUG